Molecule: ribosomal RNA, 459 nt
Filed under: uncultured bacterium
Lineage: Bacteria
Description: partial 16S ribosomal RNA
Rfam family: Bacterial small subunit ribosomal RNA
Source: RNAcentral
CCUACGGGAGGCAGCAGUGAGGAAUAUUGGUCAAUGGGCGUAAGCCUGAACCAGCCAAGUCGCGUGAGGGAUGACGGUCCUAUGGGUUGUAAACCUCUUUUAUAAGGGAGUAAAGCGCGCGACGUGUACCGUUUUGUAUGUACCUUAUGAAUAAGGCUCGGCUAACUCCGUGCCAGCCGCCGCGGUAAUACGGAGGAUGCGAGCGGUAUCCGGAUUUAUUGGGUUUAAAGGGUGCGUAGGCGGGCGGUUAAGUCAGCGGUAAAAGUCCGGGGCUCAACCCCGGCGAGCCGUUGAAACUGGCUGUCUUGAGAUGGCGAGAGGUAUGCGGAAUGCGCGGUGUAGCGGUGAAAUGCUUAGAUAUUACGCAGAACUCCGAUUGCGAAGGCAGCAUACCGGCGGCGAUCUGACGCUGAGGCACGAAAGCGUGGGUAUCGAACAGGAUUAGAUACCCGUGUAGUC